ACCUUCCUCAUCCUCACCAUCCUCACAGCCUUCAUCUUCAGUGUCACCUUCCGCAUUCUCAUCCUCACCAUCCUCCUCGAGGCCUUCAUCUUCAGCGUCACCUUCCUCAUCCUCCCCAUCCUCUUCAUCCUCCCCAUCCUCCUCAAGGCCUUCUGCGUCACCUUCCCCAUCCUCACCAUCCUCCUUGAGGCCUUCAUCUUCAGCGUCACCUUCCUCAUCCUCCCCGCUGUGCUUUCCUUUGGGACCUUUGCCUCUGGUGUCAUCUUCACCAUUCUCCUCGUGGCCUCCACCUUCAUCCCCAUCCUCCCCUUUAGGACCUUCAUCCCCUUCUUCUUUAGGGCCUUCAUCCUUAGUGCCAUCUUCCUCACCAUCCUCCUCUUCACGGUCUCCAUCAUCAUCUUCCUCCUCCUCACCAUCAUCUUCCUCCUUAGGAGCCCCACCUUGCCCUCGCUGUCACCUACUUGGUGUUGCCUUCCUCCUCACCACCCUCCUUGGAUUCUUCCCCUUCCCCCUUGAGGCCUCCAUCCUCUUCCUCCUCAGGACCUCCAUCUUCAUCCCUAGGCCCUCCAUCCUCUUCCUCCUCACGGCCUCCAUCUUCCUCCUCACCACCCUCCUCCUCCUCGGGCCUCCCAUCUUCCUCCUUCCUCCCUCCAUCCUCUUCCUCUUUGCGUUCUUCACCCUCUUCCUUCUCCCCUCCCGCCCCAACGCACGCCGGUGGGUGACAGCAGGGACAGUCGGAGCGGUGCGAGGGUUGGGCGUCGCGGCGGGGGUUGUAGAAAUCUACAAAGGGGAAGACAGGAAACACCUGUAGGGACUACAGCUGUAGGGUGAGCAACACCUAUAGGGACAACACCUGUAGGGAUGAGCAACACCUGUAGGGACAACACGUGUAGGGUGAGCAACACCUGUAAGGGGAACAGUUGGAGGGGGGUGAUGGUUGGGUGUUGGGUUGUAGAAGUCCGUAAAGGGGAAGACAGGAAACACCUGUAGGGACUACAGCUGUAGGAUGAACAACAUGAGCAACACCUGUAGAAUGAGCAACACCCGUAGGGGAAACAGACGUAGGGUGAGCGACACCCAUAGGGGGGAACAGUUGGAGGGGGGUGAUGGUUGGGUGUUGGGUUGUAGAAAGCUACAAAGGGGAAGGCAGGGAACACCCGUAGGGACAACAGCCCUAGGGACAACACCCAUAGGGUGAGCAACACCUGUAGGGGGAACAGUCGGAGGGGGUGAUGGUUGGGUGUUGGGUUGCAGAAAUCUACAAAGGGGAAGGCAGGAAACACCCGUAGAGGGACAACAGCUGUAGGACCACCGCCUGUAGGACCAGGAGGACCAGGGACAGUCAGAGAGGGGUGUGGUGGUGGGGUACGGGGUGUAGGGUUGUUGAAAUCUACAUGGAGAAGACACCGAACACCCGUAGGACCACCACCGCCUGUAGGACACCACCCACGUGGUGACCACCACCACCCAUAGGGUGACCACCAACCAUGGGGGGACCACCACCACCACCUGUGGAGUGACUGUCAUCACCUGUAGGACCACCACCACCCAUAGGUGACCCCCUACCAUAGGGUGACCCCCACCACCCAUAGGUGACCCCCAACCAUAGGGUGAUCCCCACCACCACCACCACCCACAGGGUGACCCCCACCCACAGGGUGACACCCCCUCAGCACCACCAC
This is a long non-coding RNA of Phasianus colchicus (ring-necked pheasant), 1682 nucleotides long. NCBI's taxonomy places the organism in Eukaryota, Metazoa, Chordata, Aves, Galliformes, Phasianidae. The record is from Ensembl.